AAAGUAAAAGCGCCAGAACUUAUAUAAUAAGAUAAAGUAUAAGUUGACGAGGACUAGAGUGAUCGAAGAUUCGGCGGAUGCUCUAGAGGGCUCACACCCUAAAUAAGCAAACAAAACUAAAAAGUAAUUUUUAGGACAAAGUGCUUAUC
This 149-nucleotide non-coding RNA is filed under the name uncultured Cellulosilyticum sp. RNAcentral describes it as "glmS glucosamine-6-phosphate activated ribozyme". It matches the Rfam family "glmS glucosamine-6-phosphate activated ribozyme aptamer". From Rfam's summary of the family: This entry contains a glucosamine-6-phosphate activated ribozyme that is found in the mRNA for GlmS. GlmS is an enzyme that uses fructose-6-phosphate and glutamine to generate glucosamine-6-phosphate. The record is from RNAcentral. Lineage: Bacteria; Bacillati; Bacillota; Clostridia; Lachnospirales; Cellulosilyticaceae.